GGGUGAGCCCUUUUCCCGUGAACGCAGGGCCUCAGCCUUCCCCUGCUGGGCAGUGGGUCCCCCACUUUAACCGAGGUGAGGCCCUGCCCAACCCCUCCCUGGCAAGCUUGUUGGUCUUAUGCCAAUGAUGUAGGAGAACAGACUCAUUAGGGAGCAGGAGGGGAGACCCAUGCCCCAAGCCCUCGGGGAGAGGAGAUAAGCCAUGCCAGGCUAACACUAACACCCCAUGCUACUUUCUGCCCACCUCUCACAACUACUCUUUGCUUGGGCCCUCUUUUCCAACACCUGCAGCUACCAGCCUUUCCAUUGCUGGAUCAAGCCUCUCCCAUCUCAUCAGGGGCAUAGCUGGCGGUGUGAUGUGAGGCCCUGGACUCAGAGAAGGUGGUGCUGCAUGGACCUCCUUAGAGGUCAUGUAGUCCAGACCCUUCCUUAUACUACUGUAGAACCUGAAACUGAGAGGGAGGGGACUUGCCCUAAGACCAUUUGGGGAAUUAGUGGCUAAGCCUUGAGUAGGACUCAGUUUAAUCUUCUAGAUGCCAAUUCCCCAAUUCAAGAUAGAGUAACCCCUCCGGGCAGAGGAAAUAUGGAGAGGGGAUUUAAUCGCCAAUCCUACUCUCUCCUUCCCCUCUCCCAACAAAAUGAAAUCAAACCCUUGGACUGAAUGAACAUGUUGCAAGAAUUUUCAACUUCCUUGCUAGCCACUGCAUGAAUAAGCCGGCACAGCUUACGGACAGGUGUACAGAAACCAUGGGAAGGAAGGGGGAGGGGCCAGACGUGACGUGGGUCUAAAGCCUUCCUCUCCCACUCCUUUGACACGGGGACCAACUGAUGCCUAAAAGCUGGCCUUCCCCUUCCCAGCACAGGACUCUUGCCCUGGCCCUGCUAGCCAGGUCACACCUUUGACCUCUCACCUGAAGGGCUGGCCCUGCUGCCACUUGCUGGAGGGCCACUGGGCCCUCUGUGCAGUCUGGGCACAGGGUGGGCAACCAGCUCCCCGUCACCGGGCAUGGCGGCUCCUUGUCGGAAGCGAAAAGCCAACUUUUCUAAUGAUGAGACAGAAACACUGGUGUGGAACGUGGUUCGGCAUUUUGGGGCCCUGUAUGGGGCUGAGGCCCUGCGCACCCAUUCUGCCCGCCGAAACCAGCUCUGGGGCCAGAUCCAGAGCCGAGUGAACUUCCUGGGUUACACUGAGCGCUCCGUGGAAGACUUGAAACACAAGUGGCGAGAUCUGCGGCUGGACGUCAAGCGGAAGCUCACCUCCAGGAAGGGCCCCCCUGGCAGCUGUGGCCCCCAGAAGGCCCGCCUCACCCCCUUGGAGAAGAUGGUGGCCUCCACCUUUACCCAGGCUAGCCCAGAGCAGAACCCGAGGCAUUCUUUGACCCUGAGCCUGACCUUGAGCCACCCAUGUCUCCAGCCCUGCGAAAUGGCGUGAUGGUCUCCUAUGCUUCCGUGGAUGAGGAAGAUGAAGACACCCAGGCAGUAGCUGGCCACAUCAAGGAAGGAGAAGAAGAGGAGGAAGAGAGACGUGGGAUGCUCCUGCUUCGACACUGCAGCUCGAGGACCUCCCUCACCUCCCUUCCUGAGGACGGAGGUGAAGCCCCUCCUGACUGGGCUGCCCCUGCCGUGGUCAGCGACCUCAGCCAGGUUCUCAGCCCCUCCCAGCUGCCCCCACCUUCACUUGAAGAUGAGGAGAGAGGAGAGAGUGGUAGAGGCAGACCUCGGGGGGCUGAAUUGGGAGAAGCUGGAGGAUGCAGCCCCUCAUUCUCCACUGUUCCGGGAAGAGUCUCUUCGUUUCUCAGCCUCACCAAGUGGAGAGCCCCUCCGGGGGGGUAUGAGCUGCUCCCGGAGCGCUCGGGAGGCCUGGCGGACUAACCUGCAUCGACUCUUGGACCUGGAAGAACAGUGGGACCAGCUGUACCACCAGGAGCUGGGUGUAUGGCAGGAAGAGAGAGCCCAGCAACGAGAGGAGCGGGCUCGAGAUCGUGAGCUCCAGUCCCGUCUCCUCAGUGUCCUCACAGAUAUUCGGGAUGAACUUCGCUACUUGCGCCAAGAGAGAGCCUUUGCCCGACGGAGCCAAGCCGUGGCGGCAUCUGCCACUGCCAACACAGCCCAGAGCCUCUCCCCACCCCCAGCCUUCCCCACCUUAGGGACCCCCCUCUCAGGGACUUCGCCACACUCUGGCUCCUCCUUCCUCCAGCCUGGCUUGGGACUUGGCUUGUCAGGCCCUUCACUUGCCAGCACAGGCCAGGGGGAGUCAGUAGGCCUGAACCACAGUGGAAGGCCACCACGUCGAGGCCGAGGAAGACCCAGGGGCUCCACAUCAAAACACAAAAGGCUCUCCUUAGCUCAUAGCUAGGGGGAAGAAGGGAAGUAGGGUGGGGGGCAUGGACAGAAGGACUUUUAAAAAAAUUUAAAACAAAAUGAUGUUAAUAAAAAAACCCCCAACAACAUGAUACUUGUAAGACAUACCAGUGUAUGCAGGUAGGUGGUCAUGGUGAUGGAGGGGGCACAGAAGAGGGGAAUGCUUCUGGCCAGUUGGCACUCACACUGUGCCUAGUGAGGGCAGGUGAUCUGGAAUGGAGAGAUGCAGACUGGCUACUCUUCUGUCUCUGCGCCACUUGGGGAGAAUGGACAACAGUGCCACUCCGUAUACAGAUUUUCCCUACAAACCAGCCUGAAGAAUGUACAGCUGUGUCUGAAAGUUCACCAAGGCAUUAAUUAGUACAGACAGACUUGGCAGGAACAUUAGAGUUGGUCCAGUCCAGCCUGGCCCAUGUUUUUUGAUGAGUUCUUCUUUGGCUGGGCACCCACAGCCUCACAAUGAGCAGCCAGCUCUUCCAUCUUUGGACAGCUCUCAGACUGACCUGAAAUCUGCUUCCCACAGUCACUAUUGGGUAUUCCUUUAGAGUGACAUCCACCUUCCAGUCCCUCUUCCACAUGACAACCCCCUCCCCAGGCCUCCACUUCUUCAUUUCCAGAAUCCAUUCCUUCCAUUGCAUUUAGUGCAGUCCAUACCACAGUAUUCUACCUGUCCUGGCAUAUUUGAGUGCUAUACUUGGCUAUUAUAGGCCCCCAGACCCUGACUGGUGAUGACAAUUCCUGGAAACCUCUAGCAAAAGUGGAGGGAAGGUACUUGGGAGAGAAUGGGGCAGCAGAAUCCUGAAAGAAGCAAUUCUGAAAAUGGAUCUUACCCAGAUGAGGAGCUUGCCAUCUGAGUGGGGAGAUGAUCAGGACCACACAGGCUACCCUUGAUAUGAUACCACAGGAUUUUAAGAAGUGAGAGAUGAAUGGACUGAAAAAUCUUCAUGGAUGAGGAGUGUGCUAGAGCCAGCCAAACUAUCUUCCAAGAGCUGAGUUUUGAAUUUUCACUCCUCCUAAAGAGAAUGACCCAUUGCAGUUGGCCAAUGAAAGAUGGAACAGAAGAGAGGCUCUGCUAUUUUCUGGAUUCUUCUCAUGACUGAGAUUGGAAGAGGGUGAGAUAUGGAGACCAGGAAGAGUGUGAAACAUGGAGACCACCAGCAGAAUGUACCUAUCAGCCUAUAAAGAGCUGAAUAUUUCAUCAUCUUGGGAGCUUAAGCCUUCACAUCUAUUGUGGGGCAUAUGUGAGAGAUGACAAGGUGUGAGUAGUUGGUAUAUAUAGGGAUUCACUCAACAGGAAGAUAAGCAUCCCAUUCUGGCCAGGAUAUGUAUUUAUACUUAAAGGUUUUUAGAACAGAGAUACAACCUCUUCCUUUCUAGACCAUCUGGUACCUUGUCCUGUACUAGAGGUAAGGAUUUUUCUGAAUUCUAAUGAUAAGCCCCUUCAUUUUAUAACAGCCCAUACAGAUACCUUGUAUUUUGUUUCCCUAAUUUCUCAUUUUCUGAGCCUCUCUGACCCAUUUUCUUUUUUCAUUCUUCUCCAAUAGGGGACAGAAUUGACUCUUUGUUGACCAUCAGCAAGUUGAAUAUCAUGUCUGAGGGAAUGUCUGCCCACAAUCCUCCUUCCCAAAUGACACAGCUUUGAGUCUAAUAAAGUCUUAGCCAGCUCUGGAAAGAGAUUGUGAUUUGCGAUGUGAAAAUUUUUUUUUUAUCAGAUGACUAGAAAGAAAUAAUCAGCUAUCUAUCAUGUCAAGCCAAAACUACUCUCAUGGAUAAUGCUUUCCAUGACACUUAUUCUACAAAAUGAACACUCAUUUGGCCUUCAAAAGCUGGCAUUAUUCUAGGUUCAGCUCUCAGUUCAACUAUCUAAGAAUUAAGCUCUAUGAGCCUCAGUUUUCCUAUUUCUUAAAUGGGCAUUAUCCUACUAAUACUACCUAUUUUAUAGGGGGUGCAUUAAGUGAUUUGUAAUACUGAAUAACUGUAUGAAUGGGAUACAAAGUGAUUCUAAGAGGCAGCUAGGUGGCACAAUGGAUAAAGCACUGGGCCUGGAGUGAGAAAGACCUGAGUUCAAAAUGAUUAUAAUUUAAUUGCAUUCAAUGCAACUAAAAUGAAUUUGGGCUUUCAUCAAGAUGUAUGAUUAUACUUUUAUAUUGAACUAAAAAUUGGAAAUGAAGCAUGAUUUAUAAAGAAAAAGACUACAAAUGGGAUGGAGCAGAGGCUUGACAAUCUAGCUCUAACAUGGGCACAGGUGGGAGUAAAGUUCAGAAGCUGUCCCAAAGAAGGAAAAAUAACCAACCCUAAUACUGUUUUCUAUCCAAAGACAUUUUCUGUGUAGACAUUCUUUCUCUCUGAAAGAGAUAAUCAGCCAUCUAUCAUGCUGAAGCAAACCACCUUCCUGGAUGAUGCUUUUCCUGACUCCUUCUACAAAAUGAAUGCUCAUUUGGCCUUCAAAAACUUUGGCCAAGUCUCAGUUGAACUACCUGGACUUCUUAACAAAAGAGAAGUCCAUACCAGUGAAAUUCAUCUUUCUUAAGUUUAAAGACUGACAGAAAUAAAAACUUUAAAGGACUGAC
Molecule: non-coding RNA, 4931 nt
Organism: Phascolarctos cinereus (koala)
Lineage: Eukaryota; Metazoa; Chordata; Mammalia; Diprotodontia; Phascolarctidae
Source: RefSeq, a predicted model, not a curated record